RNAcentral lists this ribosomal RNA (868 nucleotides) under uncultured bacterium. RNAcentral's name for it is "bacterial SSU rRNA". It matches the Rfam family "Bacterial small subunit ribosomal RNA", at positions 61 to 915 of the family's 1533-position model. The record is from RNAcentral.
GUCGAACGGCAGCAUGAUCUAGCUUGCUANAUUGAUGGCGAGUGGCGAACGGGUGAGUAAUACAUCGGAACGUGCCCUGUAGUGGGGGAUAACUAGUCGAAAGAUUAGCUAAUACCGCAUACGACCUGAGGGUGAAAGUGGGGGACCGCAAGGCCUCAUGCUAUAGGAGCGGCCGAUGUCUGAUUAGCUAGUUGGUGAGGUAAAGGCUCACCAAGGCGACGAUCAGUAGCUGGUCUGAGAGGACGAUCAGCCACACUGGGACUGAGACACGGCCCAGACUCCUACGGGAGGCAGCAGUGGGGAAUUUUGGACAAUGGGCGAAAGCCUGAUCCAGCAAUGCCGCGUGUGUGAAGAAGGCCUUCGGGUUGUAAAGCACUUUUGUCCGGAAAGAAAUGGCUCUGGUUAAUACCUGGGGUCGAUGACGGUACCGGAAGAAUAAGGACCGGCUAACUACGUGCCAGCAGCCGCGGUAAUACGUAGGGUCCAAGCGUUAAUCGGAAUUACUGGGCGUAAAGCGUGCGCAGGCGGUUGUGCAAGACCGAUGUGAAAUCCCCGAGCUUAACUUGGGAAUUGCAUUGGUGACUGCACGGCUAGAGUGUGUCAGAGGGGGGUAGAAUUCCACGUGUAGCAGUGAAAUGCGUAGAGAUGUGGAGGAAUACCGAUGGCGAAUGCAGCCCCCUGGGAUAACACUGACGCUCAUGCACAAAAGCGUGUGGAGCAAACAGGAUUACAUACCCUGGAUAGUCCACGCCCUAAACGAUGUCGACUAGGUGAUUGGGGAUUCCAUUUACAUUAGCUACGUAGCUAACGACGUGACGUUUGAACCGCCUGGUGAGUAGCGAGUUCGCAAUGAUUUAACAAAACCUCA